This 1032-nucleotide long non-coding RNA is filed under the name Homo sapiens (human). RNAcentral describes it as "non-protein coding lnc-SEPT3-4:1". The record is from RNAcentral. Lineage: Eukaryota; Metazoa; Chordata; Mammalia; Primates; Hominidae.
UGGGAGGCUGGUGGGAGGCAGGGGGCAGGCCUGCGGAUGCAUGAAAUAAUGUUGGCAUUAUUUUUUAAUUUUUUAAAAAAUAAAUGGUAUCUUAUUUAAUUGUCCUGUUCCUUCCCACUCCCCGCCUCCUAGGAUGUUAGCCCAAGCUCAGGGUAGGCCCAGGGGGCUGGGAGAAAUGAAGCCACCCAUGGGGACUGGGGACCAGGGGCCUUCAGCAUGGCUUCUAGGUUCCCUCCUCCCCCUACCCCAUCUCCUACCUCCACAGUACAGACUGUCCCCAACUUAACAGUGGUUCAACUUAAACCAUGUUUCAACUUUACAAUUGGUCUGUUGGGGUAUUAAAUGAAUUUGUGACUUAGGAUAUUUUCAUUUAUGAUGGGUUUAUCAGGAAGUAACCCCAUGGUAAGUUGAGGCAUAUCUGUAUAUAUUUAAACCUAAUUAAUUCUUGAGCUGAAAAUAAAUAAACCAGGAUGGCAGGGACCAACCCCUAAUCCCUCCCCAGCGGCAAGCCCCUCUUUUCAGAGUGGGCAGAGGGUUGCCUAUGGUGGGCACUAGGAAUGAGGUCCCCUGCCUCGAUGCGGGUCCUAGGAGAAAAAGUCCUACUUUUCUGGGUCCCCAGGUGCAGCACCUCCCGGAGACUGUUUCUCCCAUGGCCUCCUGAGUGAUGGGCCCUGCCUCCCUGUGCCUCAUCCUCAGGCUGGUUGGAGCAGAGGGUGGGCAGGAGCCCCAGCACAGACUGGGGGGUGCUCACAGCAGGGCCACCUUGAUGCAGGCUGGAAUGUUAUCCCUGGGGUGUGCUUGGACCCCACCUGCUUUCUUUCUCUCCUGCCCCUCCCCUACUCUCACUGUAAUUUAUGGACCCUGCCCGCCUGCGUGUUGUGUGUAUGUCCUGUGCCUUUUCUCACUAUUGUUUGGGUGUGGGAGGGGGUGGUUUUUCACUGAAAAGGGGGGUACACCUAUAGCUUUCUUGAUGUUCAAUCAAUCAGUCACUGUGUCCCAGACAUAUUCAAUAAACACAGAUUGGUACCACCC